Molecule: ribosomal RNA, 150 nt
Filed under: uncultured bacterium
Lineage: Bacteria
Description: partial 16S ribosomal RNA
Rfam family: Bacterial small subunit ribosomal RNA
Source: RNAcentral
AAUGGGCGAAAGCCGUGAUGGAGCAACGCCGGCGUGAGUGAAGAAGGUUUUCGGAUCGUAAAGCUCUGUUGUUGGUGAAGAAGGAUAGAGGUAGUAACUGGCCCCUAUUUGACGGUAAUCAACCAGAAAGUCACCGGCUAACUACGUGCC